Molecule: long non-coding RNA, 407 nt
Filed under: Mytilus galloprovincialis (Mediterranean mussel)
Lineage: Eukaryota; Metazoa; Mollusca; Bivalvia; Mytilida; Mytilidae
Source: RNAcentral
GUUACUAAUUAGGUCUUUCCACUUUUCUGUGGAAAGACCUAUUGUUUUUCUUCUGAUUAUUUUUUUUUUUUUCUUCCGCCUAAUUUUGUUCUUGCGAUAAACAUUUGUUUCGCAAUAUGUCGCUUAGAUAUUUGGUAUAUGAUAUCGAACAGUUUAUGCGCUUUUGAAAUUUACCCUGCGUAUACGAAUACUUUUCUUUGUAGGAGUUAUCUCCCCAAACACUGUUUUCCUUGUUAGCGCAUCUCCUUCGCAACCGUAAAAGAUUAUGACAAAUUUAUUUUACAAAAUUGCUCGUUAUAUCCUUCGCAUGAUUUGUCCUAUUUUGACCGAAGCGAUAUGACCGCUCCAUAUGAGAGUUAUUUCCCCUUAUGCAUCUGAUAUAAGUGAUAUGAAUUUCUAUCUUAUAA